This 496-nucleotide long non-coding RNA is filed under the name Phoenix dactylifera (date palm). RNAcentral describes it as "long non-coding RNA (PDAC_LNC012533)". The record is from RNAcentral. Lineage: Eukaryota; Viridiplantae; Streptophyta; Magnoliopsida; Arecales; Arecaceae.
CAGUGGAAGACCUAUUGACUUAAUAUUGAUUAAUCAGGUCUUAGUGUUUGCAACUUGAGCUCUUCAUAAGAGGUAAUCGAAUAAUUGGCCAGGUAAGCAGGUGGGAGGCUCCUCUUACUCAGAGAGUAAGGUCCUAAUUAAGUAACCACCUUUCAUGCUUUCCUAGACACCAAUUAGAUCAAUUAAUCUAAUAUGACUUGCUCGUGUCGGUUCACUCUCGACUUGAUUGAGGAGGUUUUGAUUUAGGUCUCAAUUGGGUUUGCUACAUCAUAUGUAAACCUAUCUACCCGACUCACAUUCACAUCACAUGCAAACGGCACAUUGCAGGCAGUUAUAAUCGCAGCAAUAAUAAAAGCUAAACUUUAAAUAGGUGAUGAUCAUGGAUUCUAGUUAGAUCGUAUUACAAGCACAUGCACGUCAAUCGAUCAACUGGUCUUCAACUCUUGAAUUGGUUCCAAGCCUCCUUGAUUCGAUCCUUGACCAACUCUUGAUCCAA